UGACCGUACUUGAGGAAUCAGCCUCGGCUAACUCCGUGCCAGCAGCCGCGGUAAUACGGGGGAGGCAAGCGUUAUCCGGAAUUAUUGGGCGUAAAGCGUCCGCAGGUGGUCAGCCAAGUCUGCUGUCAAAUCAGGUUGCUUAACGACCUAAAGGCGGUGGAAACUGGCAGACUAGAGAGCAGUAGGGGUAGCACGAAUUCCCAGUGUAGCGGUGAAAUGCGU
This 222-nucleotide ribosomal RNA is filed under the name uncultured bacterium. Its description in RNAcentral is "partial 16S ribosomal RNA". It matches the Rfam family "Bacterial small subunit ribosomal RNA", at positions 470 to 691 of the family's 1533-position model. The record is from RNAcentral.